This 469-nucleotide ribosomal RNA is filed under the name uncultured bacterium. RNAcentral describes it as "partial 16S ribosomal RNA". It matches the Rfam family "Bacterial small subunit ribosomal RNA", at positions 28 to 507 of the family's 1533-position model. The record is from RNAcentral.
GACGAACGCUGGCGGCGUGCUUAACACAUGCAAGUCGAACGGAAAGGCCCUGCCUUGGUGGCGUGCUCGAGUGGCGAACGGGUGAGUAACACGUGAGUAACCUGCCCUUGACUGUGGGAUAACUUCAGGAAACUGGGGCUAAUACCGGAUAGGAGCUCCUGCUGCAUGGUGGGGGUUGGAAAGUUUGGGGGGGUGGGGAUGGACUCGCGGCUUAUCAGCUUGUUGGUGGGGUAGUUGCCUACCAAGGCUUUGGCGGGGAGCCGGGCCUGGGGGGUGAACGGGCCACAUUGGACCUGGGAUAGGCCCCGACCUCCUACGGGAGGAAGAAGUGGGGAUUAUUCACCAUUGGGCGGAGGCCGGAGGCAGAACCGCGGCGUGCGGGAUGACGGCCUUCGGGUGGAAACCCGUUUUCGCAUGUGACGAAGCGUUUGUGACGGUACCGGGUAAAGAAGCACCGGCUAACUACGUG